This 1223-nucleotide ribosomal RNA is filed under the name metagenome. RNAcentral describes it as "bacterial LSU rRNA". It matches the Rfam family "Bacterial large subunit ribosomal RNA", at positions 1717 to 2925 of the family's 2925-position model. The record is from RNAcentral.
AAAAAAUAGCACCGUAACUUCGGGGGAAGGUGUGCCCGCCGACGUGAUGGAACUUGCUUCCUGAGCGUUGGCGGGUCGCAGUGAAAUGGGGGUUGCGACUGUUUACUAAAAACACAGGACUGUGCGAACUCGUAAGAGGACGUAUACGGUCUGACGCCUGCCCGGUGCUGGAAGGUUAAGGGGAGAGGUUAGCGCAAGCGAAGCUUCGAACCGAAGCCCCAGUAAACGGCGGCCGUAACGAUAACGGUCCUAAGGUAGCAAAUUCCUUGUCGGGUAAGUUCCGACCUGCACGAAGGGCGUAACGACAUCCCUACUGUCUCGGCCAGCGACUCAGCGAAAUUGUAUCGGGGGUGAAGAUACCCUCUACCCGCGGCAAGACGGAAAGACCCCAUGAACCUUUACUGCAACUUGGCAGUGAGGUUCGGAACAGUCUGCGUAGGAUAGGUAGGAGGCUUUGAAGUCGGGAUUCCGGUCUCGAUGGAGCCGUCGUUGAAAUACUACCCUGGCUUUUCUGGACUUCUAACCUAGGCCCCUCAACGGGGUCGGGGACACUGCCUGGUGGGCAGUUUGACUGGGGCGGUCGCCUCCCAAACAGUAACGGAGGCGCGCGAAGGCACCCUCAGGCUGAUUGGAAACCAGCCGGCGAGUGCAAUGGCACAAGGGUGCUUAACUGUGAGAGGGACACCUCGAGCAGGUGCGAAAGCAGGCCAUAGUGAUCCGGUGGUCCCGCAUGGAAGGGCCAUCGCUCAUCGGACAAAAGGUACUCUGGGGAUAACAGGCUGAUCGCGCCUGAGAGUCCAUAUCGGCGGCGCGGUUUGGCACCUCGAUGUCGGCUCAUCGCAUCCUGGGGCUGGAGCAGGUCCCAAGGGUUUGGCUGUUCGCUAAUUAAAGCGGUACACGAGCUGGGUUUAGAACGUCGUGAGACAGUUCGGUCCCUAUCUGCCGUGGGCGCAGGAUACUUGAGAGGAGCUGUUCAUAGUACGAGAGGACCUGAACGGACGCACCUCUAGUGUUCCGGUUGUCAUGCCAAUGGCAUAGCCGGGUAGCUAUGUGCGGAACGGAUAACCGCUGAAAGCAUCUAAGCGGGAAGCCGGCCUCAAGACAAGGUAUCCCGGGGCAUAAGCCCCCUGAAGGCCCCUUGAAGACUACAAGGUGAUAGGCGGGAGGUAGAAGCGCAGCGAUGCGCGGAGCUGACCCGUACUAAUAGGCCGUGCGGCUUGACC